UACGGAGGAUGCAAGCGUUAUCCGGAAUGAUUGGGCGUAAAGCGUCCGCAGGUGGCUGUGUAAGUCUGCUGUCAAAGAGCAAAGCUCAACCUUGUAAAGGCAGUGGAAACUACACGGCUAGAGUGCGUUCGGGGCAGAGGGAAUUCCUGGUGUAGCGGUGAAAUGCGUAGAGAUCAGGAAGAACACCGGUGGCGAAGGCGCUCCGCUAGGCCGCAACUGACACUGAGGGGCGAAAGCGUGGGGAGCAAACAGG
RNAcentral lists this ribosomal RNA (253 nucleotides) under uncultured bacterium. Its description in RNAcentral is "partial 16S ribosomal RNA". It matches the Rfam family "Bacterial small subunit ribosomal RNA", at positions 524 to 776 of the family's 1533-position model. The record is from RNAcentral.